Molecule: ribosomal RNA, 434 nt
Filed under: uncultured Clostridium sp.
Lineage: Bacteria; Bacillati; Bacillota; Clostridia; Eubacteriales; Clostridiaceae
Description: partial 16S ribosomal RNA
Rfam family: Bacterial small subunit ribosomal RNA
Source: RNAcentral
ACGGGAGGCAGCAGUGGGGAAUAUUGGACAAUGGGGGAAACCCUGAUCCAGCGACGCCGCGUGAGUGAAGAAGUAUUUCGGUAUGUAAAGCUCUAUCAGCAGGGAAGAUAAUGACGGUACCUGACUAAGAAGCCCCGGCUAACUACGUGCCAGCAGCCGCGGUAAUACGUAGGGGGCAAGCGUUAUCCGGAUUUACUGGGUGUAAAGGGAGCGUAGACGGAAGGCCAAGUCUGAUGUGAAAACCCAGGGCUCAACCCUGGGACUGCAUUGGAAACUGGUCAUCUAGAGUGCAGGAGGGGUAAGCGGAAUUCCUAGUGUAGCGGUGAAAUGCGCAGAUAUUAGGAGGAACACCAGUGGCGAAGGCGGCUUACUGGACUGUAACUGACGUUGAGGCACGAAAGCGUGGGGAGCAAACAGGAUUAGAUACCCUGGUA